Molecule: long non-coding RNA, 2846 nt
Organism: Sycon ciliatum
Lineage: Eukaryota; Metazoa; Porifera; Calcarea; Leucosolenida; Sycettidae
Exons: 2
Source: RefSeq, a predicted model, not a curated record
UGUCAUUGUAGUAAAACGUAACAAUGAAUGGCGAUAGCAUCUAGGAAGGAUCGCUACCCUAACGUGAAGGAAAGGCCUUGCGCGGCUGCUCUACGAAGUGUUGAAGAAAGACUCAAAGUUAGGUGCUGGACGAACAACUCGCUGGUGCCGGAAAACUACUGAAUUGGCCCCCAACGAUGGUGUUUGGUGAAUCAUAAAGCAUAGUGUCUUGUAGCAGUGUUCACCGAGGAAGGAGAACGCUCUAGCCGCUGCUGUUGUCCGUUUCAUCCACGUUGGGCGUUAGCUGCACCGCGCCUAUUGUGUUUUGGUACUCCAUGGACACACAUUAGCAUUCUGAGCGAUUGUGGAGCCACAAUUUACUUCACACAGCGGUGUAUUGUCCACGAGCGCAAACUUCAUUAUCAGCAGUAUUAACUGUUACUCUUCAUCCUACAUGUAGAUUUGGAGUAUACACGGCCUUGUCACGACAGCGACAGCUCUACAGAGUGUUCAAGUGAGAAACAUUAAUUUCCAUUGUGGGUGGACGAACAAAUCGCUGGUUCCGAAAAACGCGGCCUGCACCGAUGAUGAGGACGGAGAAUGCAGUCGCCACCACUGUCGUCCGAUUCAUCCAAGUGGGCUUUAGCAGCGCCGCGCCUAUUGUGUUUUAGUAAUCCAUGGACGCACACUAGCGUUCUCAGUGAUUGUGGAGCCACAACUUCUCUUCAAGCAGCGGUACACUGUCCAAGAGCACAAACGUCAGCAGUGACCAAUCAUCAUACAUGUAGAUUUGGAGUAUACACACCAUGCGCCAAUGGGCCUUGGCACAACAGCGGCAGCUCUACGGAAUAUUCAAGUGAGAAACAUUUGUUUCGACUGUUGGUGGACGAACCAAUCGUCGGUGCCGAAAAACGUGGCCUGCGUCGAUGGUGCUUGAAACGUCAAGCAUGGUAUAUGGUGGCUGCCAGUGUUCAUCGAGGAAGGAGAACACUCAGGCCGUCGUCCGUUCAUCCAUUUCGUUAGCUGCACUAAGUCUAUUGUGUCCUUGUAUUCCAUGGACACACAAUCAUGAAGCAUGGCGUCUGAGCUGUGUUCACAGAGCGAGGAGAUGCUCUCGCCGCUAUCUUAUCUGUCCUGUGUAUUCCCAAGUGUCGAAGGCUCACAACAAUGGUGUUGGACAAGUCAGAUAAAAUGGAGUCAACAUCGUCACCUGACGCUGUGACCAGAUUACGGAUUAUGACGAACGCGGAUUCAACUGGACGAAUCGCAACCUGACGACGAAGAAUCGCGAGGCUUUUCAGAUGCUGGGAUACAAUGGAAACCGAACGACUUCAGAACGGCACUGAAACGUUAUGUUAUCAUGCAAGACGCCUUUCUGCGCCGCACAAACACAGGCGGUACUACAGCAGAAGAUGUCACUCACUAUUCUGCAGGUGCACUGGUGACAGGCGCAUGCAAGUUCACAAGAAGGAGGCGGUCUGAUGGUAACUGGAAUGCCAGCAGUAUGAGAGGAUGUGCAUUCUGCGGUGGAUCUCACCUGGACAAGAGCUGCACGAAAUACACAACAGUAGCACAGCGGAAAGAAUAACUGAUUGAACAGAAGCGUUGCUUUGCGUGUUUGCGCACAAGGCACUGGUCAACUCAGUGCAAGGCCACCCGCAAGUGUAAUGUGUGUUCUCGCAUGGGUCACCAUCAUGUCACGAUCUGCCCUGAAUCUCAACAGAAAUCUGACAGCAGUACCAACAUAGUAGCUGAUCAGCCUGUGGCUGACGAGGUACCAGCAUCUAGCACAACAGCAGCUAGUGCAGCAUCAACCAGUAUCGCCAUCGACCGUAAGAUAGUCAGUUGUCUUGAUCGGUGCAGAUUUCCUCUGGGAGUUUAUGACGGGGAGCACCAGAGGACUUCCAUCAGGACCGUACAGUUUCUGCCUACCACAGUCGGUUUUGUGGCGACUGGCCGAACAUGUCACUCCAAGCACUCAGCUACGCCGAUGAGCAGCCAUGCCAGCUAUCGUUUCUCUACCUGAUGCGACUUCCGACUCCUGCACCAUCCAAGAUCUGUGGGACUUAGACUGCAUUGGCAUCCAGGAUUCAGCCAAUCUUACUAACAACGACCUAGCCAUUAGGCAAUUCAUCUCAACUGUCACUCAACUCGAUCGUUUCCAGUCUCUAUCCAAGCGCCUAGAAGUCGAGCCGGAACUCAAGGUCAAAUGCGACAACGUGAUCCAGCAGCAGCUACGGUAAGGCAUCCGCCGAACAAGUGAGCCCUUCUACACCUGUGGGUGCCAGAGUGCACUAUCUGCCUCAUCAACCAGUCAUAAUACCACAGAAGACUAUCACAAAAGUCAAGAUGACAAACAACUAGCAAUGGCUAGUGGUGAGAACAUUUUCUGCUGUGCCAUUGGAGUGUGCACUAUACACGUACCCUACUCUUUUGUUGGCACCGCCUCUGUAACUUACUGCAUAGGGUGCAAGGUGACCGUUGUCGGUUUACAUGUACUCCAUUUAUUACGCCGUACAUGCACUGAGUCUGUGCUGUACUAUGCAUCCACAGGUGUCCGUUUGCGGUAGCGCAAGGCGACACGCAUGGGUAUUGUUUUGUCCGCUGCUAUUUGAAGCUCUCGAAGUCGGAAGCGUUACCUCUGUUUCCCCUGUUCCUCCCUGCGUGGAGUCUGUAGUUCUGGCUUGCAGUCGCUGUUACAUGCAUGUUGGCAGUUGCAUGUGUUUUGGUUUUCAGUUGUCUUUAUUUGUUUUGUGUGGACGACAGUUCAAUAUUCUAGCAGUUGUUACACUUCAUAUGUUCCGUAGUUAUCUGCUGUUGGUGUUUGAGAGAGCAAACUGUGUUCUUCUCCAGAGUGGAGUAAACCA